GGUCAAUAAUUUUUGUUUCGGUAAAGAUAUUUGAAUAAAACUUGUUAUGUAUGUAGCUUAUAUUAAGACAAAGGCUGGGAUUGAUUUUGGGGUUUCUGGGGUCAAGGUCAAGGUCACUGUUACUUAAAAUAGAAAAAAGGUUUCCGGUCAAUGACUUUUGUUUUGGUAAAGAUAUUUAAAUAAAACUUGGUAUGUAUGUAGCUUAUAUCAAGACAAAGGCUGGGAUUGAUUUUGGGGUUUCUUGGGUUAAGGUCAAGGUCACUAUUACUUAAAAUAGAAAAAGGGUUUCCGGUCAAUAACUUUACUUAGGAAUGAGCUAUCAUGAUGAAACUUCGUGUAUAGAAAACUUAUAUAAAGUUGUAGCUUGGGAUUGAUUUUGGGGUUUCUGGGAUCAAGGUCAAGGUCACUGUUACUUAAAAUAGAAAAAGGGUUUCCGGUCAAUAACUUAACUUAGGAAUGAGCUAUCAUGAUGAAACUCGGUGUAUAGAAAACUUAUAUAAAGUUGUAGCUUGGGAUUGAUUUUGGGGUUUCUGGGAUCAAGGUCAAGGUCAUUGUUACUAAAAAUAGGGUUAGGGUUAGCAUAUCUUCUACAUGCAUGGAGGGAUUUUGAUGAAAGUUGGCACAAUUGUUCACCAUCAUGAGACGGAGUGUCAUGCACAAGAACCAGGUCCCUAGGUCUAAGGUCAAGGUCACACUUAGAGGUCAAAGGAUACAAGAAUGAAAACUUUGUCCGGAGCAUAUCUUCUUCAUGCAUAGAGGGAUUUUGAUGUAACUUGGCACAAUUAUACACCAUGAUGAGACGAAGUGUCUUGCGCAGUUCCCUUCUAAAGAAUUACUUCCCUUUGUUGUUACUAUAAAUAGCUUAUAUUGUAACUUUUUCAUUACUAGACGUAGGGAAAAAUCGAGACCACUUUUCUGUAGUACAACAUGCAUGUUACAUCCAAUUUUGAGGUGUAUUUUGACCAAUCUCUACCUGGUAAGGAUUUCUGUGUGGACUUACAAUUUUUUUUUUUUAAUUUUUUUUUUUUUAAGAUUAACUUCCCUUAGUUGUUACUAUAAAUAACUUAUAUUGUAACUUUUUUAUAAUUGACCGUAGGGAAAAAUCAAGACCACUUUUCUGUGGUACAACAUAGUUGUUACUUUCUAAUUUAAGGUGUAUUUUAAGGUAUCUCUACCUGGUAAGGAGUUUUUUUGUAGACUUAGAAAAACAAAAGAAUUACAAUGAUUACUAAACAACCACAAAAUUAAAAUUACAUCUGCAAAUACAGGUGCUAGAGUAAAGAAAUUUGCUUUGACGGGCGUAUAUUGUGACAUUCUGGCAUUCUUGUUUAUUCUUAUGAAAAGUGUUGAAAACCUGGUUUCGUGGCAUUACAGCGUUUCUUGUUACUUAGUCUUGCAUUGUCAACAAGUAGCAUAUGACUGUACAGUAACAGGAAGUGGGGUCUAAAAACUAUUUUAUAUUCCUUUUUCCAAUUCUUCCUUUUAUUAAUUUGGCAGACCCCUUGUGACAAAAUUUGUUACUCAUGGUGCUUAUCAAAUACUUGUGAUAAAAAUCUUUAUAUAAUAUGUUGAUGUUACUUAAUUGUAAUGAACUAUUGUUAAAUAAAUUUAAGGAAUUUGUCGAGAUUAAAAGAAAUACAUGUCAGCAUACAUGUGAUCUCCCGCGCGGGAGGGUCAAAAUCCCGAUUUUUUAACCUUGCCUCCCGUCUCCCGACCAAAACCAUAUUUCUCCCGCUUUUCAAAAAAAAAAAAAAAAAAAAAAAAAAAAAAAAAAAAAAAAAAUCAGUAUUAUGACUGGGUUGAUAAUUACCAAGGAGUGCACAGUAAAUCAAAGUGUCACCUACUGUUGUGUAUUAUACAUGUUUGACACACAUGGAGCUGGAGGAAAGAGUUGUUUUUCACAGGUGAAUUAUUAAUUGUUUGUUUUGAUAAGGGAUUAGACAAGCAGGGCAUUUCCCACCUGUCUCACGGGGCCGAUUCUCAAUGCCAAUUAAGCUCCAUUUUUUACCAAUUUGAAGCAAAAAAAAACCCCAGUCAUAAGAAAAUAAUUCCCAACUGAAAUGAAUUUUGAUUAUUCAAAGAAAAAUUUUGCUCGGUAAUAAAAUCACAUAAGUAAUUGUUGGAAAAACGAACCCAUUACUAUUUUUAGAACAGGAGUGUUAAUUCCCCUUAUGGAGUUACGCCAUUUUCUUCCAAUGUUUACCAAAUUAAUUUUGCAACUAAAUCGGACAUAUUUCAUUGAAAACUGGAUGACAACACACACUCAUUUAUUUGAUAAUAUCAAUCUACAUUAUUUUGGUAAGGGUAAAUACAUGUUGAUGCAUUUCUGUUUUCUAUUUUUCAUGUCAAAAUCAUCAUUUUUAUACGAAAGUGGGUGGGGUAAAGAAUUUACAUAAUUUAUGAGUUGUGUUCAGACCAAUUUAGAGCUUCGUUUUUUUUUAAGUCCUCGAGUAGAAUAAUGUUAAUGCAUGUUCACCUUCAUUUCAGACCUAAAUUGAGACUUUGUUUCUACAAAUUUAAUCUGUUAAGAAAGUUAGAACAAGAGGGAGCUUCUGUAUGAUAGCAUGCUCGACUUUUUUCAGUGAUUGACUCUGAAUUAAAGCUUUGCCAGUAAAAGGGGCAAUUAAAGCUUUGCCAGUAAAAGGGGCAUAAUAGUCAAUAGCUUUGAAUGUAACAGAGAUAUUAGACAUUAUAUAAAACUUUAACAAAAAACAAUGAAGUUAAAAAGUGGCAUAACUCUGUCAAAAUUCAAAUCAAGAGUUAUGAGGAUUGUUUCUUCCGGUGUAGACUUAUAUACAUUAUUUUGUGGCUGAAAAUAUUGGAUUUUGCCUCUAAGUUAUGUGUCCGCGCGCUUAAUUUAUGUCGAUGAAAAACCUCCAGUUUUGAGACCCCAACUCCAGCUGAAAAAUGGCAAACCUCCAGUUUUGGGAUUCUAAACUUAUCACAUGUAUGCAUGUCAGAUCACUAAAUCAAAAACAUGACCAUUGCAUUUUCAAUUACCUUAUGACAUCAGUGCUAAAAACAAGAAAUAUUUAAAAUGAAGAGCAUUUUUUAUAAUUAAAUAAGCAAGGCCUUUGCAUUGUUUAUUGUGUGAUUUAUCAUAGUACAGAUGUAUAGGAGGUUAAAUAGCCAAGCACCUGAAUCAUGAACCAUGGUAAAAUCGGACAAUAAACCCUAAAUGUCUUGUUAGCUCACCUGAGCCAAAGGCUCAUGGUGAGCUUUUGUGACCGCUCAAUGUCCAUCGUGUGUCAUGUGACAUGUAUCGUGCGUUGUUCGUCCGUUAACAUUUUCUAAAAAAAUCUUCUUCGUGAAAACCACUGGGCAGAAUUACACCAAACUUCACAAUAAUGAUCCUUAGGUGGCCCCCUUUCAAAAUUGUUCAAAGAUUUGAAUUUCAUGCAGAACUCUGGUUGCCAUGGCAACCAAAAGGAAAAACGUUAAAAAUCUUGUCCAAAACUGCAAGGCAUAGCGCCUUGAUAUUUGGCAUGUGACAUCAUCUAAUGGUUCUCUAUGAAGAUUGUUCAAAUUGUGCCCCUUGGGUGAAAAGAGGCCCUGUCCCGGGGGUCAGAAGUUUUACAUACACUUAUAUAGGAAAAAAAUUUGAAAAUCUUCUUGUCUAAAACCACAUGACCUAGGCCUUUGAUAUUUGGUAUGUAGCAUUUCCUUGUGGUCCUCUACCAAAAUGGUUCGAAUUAUAACCCUGGGGUGAAAAGAGGCCCUGCCCGGGUGUCUCAAGUUCUAUUUAGAAUUAUAUAAGAAAAAACUUUAAAAAUCUUUUUGGCUGAAACUACAGGGCCUAUGCUUUUAAAUAUUUGGUGUGUUGCAUUGCCUUGUGGUCAUCUACCAAUUUUUUUUUUCAAAUUAUGCCCCUAGGGUGGAAAGAGGCCCUGCCCUUGGGGUCCCAAAUUUAACAUAGACUUAUAUAGGGAAAACAGUAUAAAAAUCUUCUUGUCUGAAAGUUCAAGGCCUAGUCCUUUGAUAUUUGUUAUGUAGCAUUGCCUAGUGGAUCUCUAACAAGAUUAUUCAAAUUAUGCCCCUGGGGUGAACAGAGGCUCCUCCCUGGGGCUCACUUGUUAUAUGAGUUAUAUAGGAAUAAAUACUUCAAAAAUUAUCAGAUCAUAUUUCCUAGACUGUUUAAUUAUAAUUACCUGACAGCCCCAAGCGAUUAGGGGUCACUUGACUUUGACCUUGACCUACUGACAUACUUUCUUGUUUUUUCAAGAUAAAGCCUUGAAAUUUGGAUGACAUGUACAGUUUUGUACACCGAUCUUAAAACUGACUUUCAGUGACCAUGAAUGUGCCCUACUGACCUACUUUCUAAUAUCUUAACAUCAGUUUGCCAUUUUAAACAUGUGGCUUAUUUUACUCAGGUGAGCAAUUCAGGGUCAUCAUGACCCUCUUGUUUAUAUUUAUUUAUAACAUGCUUAUUGAAAUAUUAUGAUAAACCUUACGAUUUUGUAAUUUCCUCAGAGGUACGGACAUCAACCAUUGUUUAUUGCAGAAUUUACAAUGCUCAACUUUUUCCUUUGUUUGACUGAAAGACAGAUCUUAGGAAAAUCAUGUAAAGUGAUUGCUUAUUUCCCUGUAUGCCUAUAAAUUGUAAGUUUUAUCAAAUUUAUAAUUAUCAAAAGGUCUUUAAUAUUUUAAUGUAGUAUUUGCUUGAAUCUCCAUUUAAUAAAUGUAGAUUUGCUGUGUUUUGAGAAUAAAUCAGAGUAAUGGUUAAACAAGAGAUAGCAUUAUAUUUAUGUACAUAAGCAGUUGAAACUCGGUAUCUUGAAUUCAAAGGGGUCUCUGGUGUUUUAUUUCAAGAUAGUCAGAAUUUGACACAAAUUUAAUACUUUGUAAACAUGACAGUCAUAUACAUUUAAUUUAUGUUUAUUUAUUUCAUGUUUGCAAGACAUGAUUGUGCCUUUAUGUAACAGGCAAUAUUUUUUUUAUGUGAACACAUUUUGACAUAAAUACAUAUGAAUUUGACUGAAGGGACUUCAAUUCACUUUGCCACAAGUAAAGUGGUAGUAUGCCAACUUUGACUGGAACAGAGUAAAAAUAAUCUAUAUUGAGGAUUUUUUUAUUUGAAAUAUAUUAAGUGGAAUUUCAAAGAAAUUGAGUUUGAUAUACUGUGUUCCAGCUGUAUACUAAAAAAUUGUUGAAUUCAUCACUAUAUGAGCAGUGCAUGCUGAGUGUUCUGUAAAAACAGCAAAAUAAACCAUGAUGAAUGUUUUUCAUCUGUUUUUGCAUUACCGGUAUGUCUCAGGCUGGCAGAUAUAGAUUUAUACUUUGGUAUGUUUACUGGACAUACUACCAGACAUAUUUUAUGAUGUCUUUUUUACAAGAUAUGUUGUAAUUUUCCUUGUUUUUUUUUUAUCAGUUAUAUGUGUUUUUGGAGAUUAAAACAUAAAAAAAUUA
Mercenaria mercenaria is the source of this 5406-nucleotide long non-coding RNA. RefSeq lists it as uncharacterized. The transcript has 2 exons. The record is from RefSeq and is a predicted model, not a curated record. Lineage: Eukaryota; Metazoa; Mollusca; Bivalvia; Venerida; Veneridae.